AUUGAACGCUGGCGGCAUGCCUUACACAUGCAAGUCGAACGGCAGCACGGGAGCAAUCCUGGUGGCGGAGUGGCGAACGGGUGAGUAAUAUAUCGGAACGUGCCCGGUCGUGGGGGAUAACGUAGCGAAAGCUACGCUAAUACCGCAUACGAUCUACGGAUGAAAGCAGGGGAUCGCAAGACCUCGCGCGAUUGGAGCGGCCGAUAUCAGAUUAGGUAGUUGGUGAGGUAAAGGCUCACCAAGCCGACGAUCUGUAGCUGGUCUGAGAGGACGACCAGCCACACUGGGACUGAGACACGGCCCAGACUCCUACGGGAGGCAGCAGUGGGGAAUUUUGGACAAUGGGCGCAAGCCUGAUCCAGCAAUGCCGCGUGCAGGAUGAAGGCCUUCGGGUUGUAAACUGCUUUUGUACGGAACGAAACGGUGAGCUCUAAUACAGUUUGCUAAUGACGGUACCGUAAGAAUAAGCACCGGCUAACUACGUG
RNAcentral lists this ribosomal RNA (485 nucleotides) under uncultured bacterium. Its description in RNAcentral is "bacterial SSU rRNA". It matches the Rfam family "Bacterial small subunit ribosomal RNA", at positions 30 to 507 of the family's 1533-position model. The record is from RNAcentral.